CUGACCUCGCACCCAGCUCGGAGCCCGGAGCGUGCCUCGGCGGCCUAUCGGGUAAGGCCGGGCCUCGGAGCGGUGGCGCGGGGGCGGGCUGCGGGGAGAGGCCAGGCUCCCUCGCUCAGCUUCCAGCCCAGCACCCCCCACCCCCCAGGCUCAGGCCCAUCAGACCCGCAGCUCCCUGCGCUCCGCCUCCCCGCCAGCUUCGCGCCCCCAUCCCUUCCGGGCGCCCCGUCUGAGACAGAAGACCUCUGAUCCCCCGCCCCCGCCUGGUUUUCACCAUGGAGCAGCUGAGCUCAGCAAACACCCGCUUCGCCUUGGACCUGUUCCUGGCGUUGAGUGAGAACAACCCGGCUGGAAACAUCUUCAUCUCUCCCUUCAGCAUUUCAUCUGCUAUGGCCAUGGUUUUUCUGGGGACCAGAGGUAACACGGCAGCACAGCUGUCCAAGACUUUUCAUUUCAACACGGUUGAAGAGGUUCAUUCAAGAUUCCAGAGUCUGAAUGCUGAUAUCAACAAACGUGGAGCGUCUUAUAUUCUGAAACUUGCUAAUAGAUUAUAUGGAGAGAAAACUUACAAUUUCCUUCCU
This 581-nucleotide small RNA is filed under the name Pan troglodytes (chimpanzee). RNAcentral describes it as "processed transcript". The record is from RNAcentral. Lineage: Eukaryota; Metazoa; Chordata; Mammalia; Primates; Hominidae.